CAGUCGCCGCGGUAAUACGUAGGGUGCAAGCGUUAAUCGGAAUUACUGGGCGUAAAGCGUGCGCAGGCGGUUUGUUAAGACAGAUGUGAAAUCCCCGGGCUCAACCUGGGAACUGCAUUUGUGACUGGCAGGCUAGAGUAUGGCAGAGGGGGGUGGAAUUCCGCGUGUAGCAGUGAAAUGCGUAGAUAUGCGGAGGAACACCGAUGGCGAAGGCAGCCCCCUGGGCCAAUACUGACGCUCAUGCACGAAAGCGUGGGGAGCAAACAGGAUUAGAUACCCCAGUAGUCCCUGUCUCUUAUAA
This 301-nucleotide ribosomal RNA is filed under the name uncultured bacterium. Its description in RNAcentral is "partial 16S ribosomal RNA". It matches the Rfam family "Bacterial small subunit ribosomal RNA", at positions 509 to 809 of the family's 1533-position model. The record is from RNAcentral.